RNAcentral lists this transfer RNA (74 nucleotides) under Caudoviricetes sp. RNAcentral's name for it is "tRNA-Ile". It matches the Rfam family "tRNA". From Rfam's summary of the family: Transfer RNA (tRNA) molecules are approximately 80 nucleotides in length. Their secondary structure includes four short double-helical elements and three loops (D, anti-codon, and T loops). The record is from RNAcentral. Lineage: Duplodnaviria; Heunggongvirae; Uroviricota; Caudoviricetes.
AGUAAUAUAGUUCAGAUGGUUAGAACGUGCGUCUGAUAAGCGCAAGGUCGUUGGUUCAAGUCCAACUAUUACUA